AGGCCAGAGAAAAGGCAAAGGAGGCUGCAUGCCAUAAACGUCUGCUAGUCUUCUCCCACGUUUGCUUCGGCACGCACUCGUAGCCAAACUAAACACCACGUUAUCCUCAGCCAACACGUGUCAGGCACCUCACCUGUAGAUCAGCUUCCAUCUGAAAAGUUCAACAACAAAAAAAUAGCACCACUUUGUCCCUCUCUGUCCCUUCCCCUUAAGGAGCGGUGCGUGAGUCAGAUUAAAUAAUCAUUGGGACCGGGGUGCAUUUCACCUUGGGGACAUAUUGUCCCCCGUCAGUGGAACCUUCGGGGACAGAAGGCGGCUCGGCGGGGGAGCGUGGUGGGGAGCGCUCCGCUCUGAUGAAAUGGAGCUGGCUUAAUGAAGGCAUGGCCCGUGGCUUCCGCAGCUCUGCCAUAUGUUUCGCCAAAUGCAAAUGGCCCCCCAAUUCAAACAACUUUUUCAUCUUGAUCUAUGCAAAUGUGUUUAUAAAUACAGGCUUAUAAAUAUGGCAUUUCACGUUUUAAAGAGCGAACUAAAAGCUUCGAUACCCCCCUCCCUCACCCAGUGAAAAUGGCCGACGGAUGUGGGAUGGAUUAAUGGCAUCCCGUGGGACAGUUGGCAGGCACAGAGGUGAUCAGACUGUCUGAGAUGCAGCAGUAACAGCACCUGAGGCUCCAUCUGGGUGCCAAUGUCUUUGUCAAAAUCCUCCUGCCCACCUUGUGCCAGUCCUGUGUCAAAUGAUAAACACAUUUAAUACGGCAGUUAAUACAGUUUUGUACAGAAACUUUCAAGAGAUUAAAACGAGUAGUUGUGAGUAGAACAACAAUUUUGGUAGUCUCCGCAUAAUGGAGUUUCAAAAUGAUGGGCUUAUGAGGCCUAAAUUCUGAUGAUAUCAAGCUGUGGCACAAAAAAGCACUAAUUGCAUUAUGAUUAAGCAGAAAAAUUGUUACAGUGUUAAGGAAUGCUGACACAAUGACUCAGAAAAUUACUCAUUUUGUUAUGUCUGACCUUCAAACCUUCAGUACAAUAACGGCAACACACGUAUGUUUAAAUGUUGGGGAAACUGGG
Cyprinus carpio carpio is the source of this 1062-nucleotide long non-coding RNA. The record is from Ensembl. Lineage: Eukaryota; Metazoa; Chordata; Actinopteri; Cypriniformes; Cyprinidae.